RNAcentral lists this long non-coding RNA (950 nucleotides) under Gallus gallus (chicken). RNAcentral's name for it is "long non-coding RNA NONGGAT011675". Lineage: Eukaryota; Metazoa; Chordata; Aves; Galliformes; Phasianidae. The record is from RNAcentral.
UGUCCUCACCUCAAACCAAGCCAGGGAGUAGAGAACUCCAAGUCUUUGCUGUGAGAGUGAGGGAAGAGAAAGAAGCCAAGCAACGAUAACAACAGAAAACACAGGAAAUACAAAAAGUGAUACAGGCACACAGAAGUAUUUUCAAGCCCAGUGCCGGGUGCAUUUACUCACCAGGCUCUCUCCUGAGGGUCACUGAGCACAUCAUAUGCUGCUUGGAUUAACUUGAACUGUUCUGCAGCUUCCUCAGCAUUCUCAAGGUUUUUAUCUGAGAAUUAAAGGAAUAAACUGUCAACAACUCAAAGCAUAACAGCACCCCUCACGCAAACAGGAAAGGCGCUGCGGCCACACGGCACGAGGACCGCAGUCUCCGGCCUGGGAAUGGGCCGGAGGCACCCACGAGCCUUUACACGAGCCACGACCCGCCCAGGAGCUUCCCCACUCCCCAUGCCGCUCGGUCGCCCUCUCCCCGGCCCGCUCUCCCCUCCAGGCCUGCAGCAGGCCGGGCCCGCGGAGCGCCGUACCCGGGUGCCAGCGCAGCGCCAGCCGCCGGUAGGCCCGCUUCAGCUCCUCCUCGGCCGCGUCGCGCCGCACGCCCAGCACCUCGUAGUGGCACCUCAUGACGACGGGGCAGCCCGCGAGGAGAGCCGGCCGGCAACGAGAGCGGGGCAGCGGGCGGGAACAGGAAGAGCCGACCGCGCGGCCAUACGGAGCCCGGGCCGGGAGGAGCGACGGGAGCUGAGGCGGGGCGGGACUGUGAGAGGAAAACUACUCAUCAUCCUGAAAAAGAAAAUUCCUGUAAAGUGAAAACUUCUCAAAGGAUUACCUGCUGCUGUCAAGGACCAGUGUAGCUGACUUGAAUCCCCCUUAAUGAUAAGAACACCUGUGACAAACUAGGUACUUUUAUUUCUUGUGUAUAUUACAGCAAGCCAUUUCCUGGAGGUAUCUGAGCA